CUGUUUUUUCCCUAACAAAUUCCCAAAAGUCCUGAGGCUGUCAAGGAAGCCCAGUUACUUGACAUGGGGGCCAAAUCCAUGGGGCAGUAGGGCUACAGCUAUUAGAAGGUGAACUGUCAACAGUUCCUUGCCCCAACUCAGGUGUUACUGUGGGCAGCUCACCACUUAAUUUGCUGUUGCUGUCACUGUCAGGUAACAGAGGAUAUGACCCUGCAGAUUGUUCAUGCAGCUCAGAGGGGAGUGAGGGGGCAGAUGGCUGGACUAGAGCAGAGGGAAGCAGGGGGGCAGACGGCUGGGUUUCUCUCUCUGCUAAAGGCAUUUCAGCUACCUGGUGCAGCGGUGUAGUGUAUUCAGGCACCAUCGGGAGCUGCUGUGCAGUUUGCCCAGAAGCCUUGGCAGCUCUCCCAGAAGCUUUGGCAGCUUUCCCACAGGCUUUGGUAGCCUGCCUGGUAACUUGCAUGGCAAUUGCACCUUCUUCAAGGAUAGAUUCCCCUCUGCCUCAUCUCCCUCAUCAGUUUCUGUUAUCAACCCCGAUUCUUCGUCCACAUGCUGCUUUGCUUGUUCUUCGUCUUUCUUCCAUUUUCUUAAUCCCUCAAAAAGUGAUCCCCAGGUAACAGCUAGAUCAACAACAGUUUAAUCUUCCGCUCAGAUGACUUCCCACAGUCUGUCCCUGACUUUUUUCCAUGCUCUGACACUAAAUGCUAUGUCAGGAUCAGUGCCAAAAUCCUGUGAUUUCGCCCACAGCAAUUUACUAUGAAGGGCAUAGUCUGAACUAUUAAUUCCCUUAUUUCUUAACAAAACUUUCCAUGUAGCCAAAACAGUCUCUUCUUCAUUAGAUAAAUUAUUUCCCAUUAUUACUUGUUGGUAUCUCACCUACUUCCAGGUGUCUUGAUAGGAGAAAAUCAGGUCUGGGCUUCCCUGUGGUUUCCACCCGCCAUUCUCAGCUGUACCAACGCAGCCUCCCCCACUACAUCCCAGUGAGUCACGUUUGCCAGUUGCUAAGACCCCGUAUGGGUCCAGACCAAGGAUGUUCUUAGGGGCGUUGAAUGACGUCGGGGUCACCACAUGACACUGUCAAGGCAGUCAUGACACAAGGCAGAGACUACAAGCAGUCUCAGAUGGCAGCUCUUUAUUAUCGAACAUGGCUGACCUUUUAUACACUUUUGAAUUGUUGAUACUUCUUCUACCCUAACUAUUGGCCACAAUAAAUCAACAUAACGUCAUUGGUGAAAAGUUACA
Molecule: long non-coding RNA, 1239 nt
Filed under: Zonotrichia albicollis (white-throated sparrow)
Lineage: Eukaryota; Metazoa; Chordata; Aves; Passeriformes; Passerellidae
Description: lncRNA (ENSZALG00000004924.1)
Source: RNAcentral